UGGUCGCAGGGCUACUGGACUACAAUCCCAGUAUGCACCGGGAUGGGGGCGGUGUGUAACGCUGCAAGGAAGGAUAGCGAGGCGCGUCCCUGGCCAGGGAUGCUGGGAGUUAUGGUCUCUUAACGGUUUCCAGCGAUUGUCCCUCGGCCUGCAGUCUACAAUCCCAGCAGGCACUGGGCUUCGGGGCGGUGUGUAGCACUGGAGGGAAGGAUACGGAGAGAAUAACCUGUCCGCUAGUAAUCAGUACCUGGGUCAUCAUGUCUGAUGCCGAGAAUGAGUUCAUCAACUGGGCAGCCACCACUGCAACAGAAGCCAACUGCAGUCAAGGCUGGCUUUGCAUCAAAUUGCCAGAGGACACAGGAAAUGGACUACCUUGGAGAAUUGUCCCUGCCAACAUUUCUGAAUGGCUCUGUCGCUACCAAUGGGGCCACAAUAACACUUGCAAUCCAACCUGGACUUCCUUUGCUACUUUAAUAACAUCUUAAUACACUAUAAUAAUAGUAUAACCAUUGUAGUUUCCUGGGGGCCCCUCUGGGUAUGCAGAUCCUAUUGGUGGCAAUACCUGGCCCUAUAUUGGAUGGGGAGAUGCACUUGGGGUUGCCUUUAAUUCCAUUCACCAUCCAGGAUAAUAUUCUCCUCCCCAGUAAUCUAGACAAACAUUGCUGGUUUUGAAUGUGCCAGACUCCCUGGUGGUGGUACCCUAUCACAGUAUUCUUCCCCUGCCCCUGGUACAAUCCUGUUUCAGUAACAAAGUAAAAUAUUAAGCCUACAUGUAGAAAAAGCUCUUAAUGAUAGUAGCAUUGGACUUUUAUUGUUAUCAGAUGAAUUUGCUCAGCUGCGUACUGUUGUGUUGCAAAAUCAAAUGGCAUUAGGUAUGCUUACCACAACCCAAGGAGGAGUUUGAGCCUUGCUGCAUACUGAAUGUUGUGUGUAUAUUCCUGACAAUUCUCACAAUAUUACUCUCCUUGCCCAAGACAUGCAAGGACAAGUAAAACAGUUAGAAUCUAACCGUCAGGACCCCAUCACGGAUUGGCUGUCACACUGGCAUUGGCGUUGACCAUGGUGGGUGUGGUUUUUAUUAAUUGUGCUUUUCAUUCUCCUCUGCUUACCGUGUAUCUGUAAUCUAUACCAAUUGUGCCAUCCCCAUAUAUCUGUAAAAACAUUUUCCUACAAUUGGGUGUCAAAUUGAGGCUGAAUGUGAAGGAAAAGUUAAAUAUUAAAUUUGAACUCAAUGAACAUA
Long non-coding RNA from Gorilla gorilla gorilla (western lowland gorilla), 1240 nucleotides. RefSeq lists it as uncharacterized. The record is from RefSeq and is a predicted model, not a curated record. Lineage: Eukaryota; Metazoa; Chordata; Mammalia; Primates; Hominidae. The transcript is spliced from 2 exons.